RNAcentral lists this ribosomal RNA (153 nucleotides) under uncultured bacterium. RNAcentral describes it as "partial 16S ribosomal RNA". It matches the Rfam family "Bacterial small subunit ribosomal RNA", at positions 340 to 491 of the family's 1533-position model. The record is from RNAcentral.
UACGGGAGGCAGCAGUGGGGAAUCUUGCACAAUGGAGGAAACUCUGAUGCAGCGAUGCCGCGUGAGUGAAGAAGGCCCUUGGGUUGUAAAGCUCUUUCGUCGGGGAAGAAAAACUCCGACGUGUCGGAGCUUGACGGUACUGUAAGAAUAAGG